AAAAAGGCAAAUCUUAGGUUUCCGUGCCAACGUUUGAUUAUCCGUCUUAUAUAAAAAAUUUUAUAAUUAAUAUUUUCAUUGUUGUUAGAUAAUAAAACAUGAUUAAUACUUUAUGCGUGACUUAUCUUUUUAAUUUUUUUCAUAAUUUUUUUAAAUAAGACGGACGGUGACAUGGAAACCAGGGUUUGUCUUUUU
This 195-nucleotide microRNA precursor is filed under the name Oryza sativa Indica Group (long-grained rice). RNAcentral's name for it is "MIR812 microRNA precursor family". It matches the Rfam family "MIR812 microRNA precursor family". Lineage: Eukaryota; Viridiplantae; Streptophyta; Magnoliopsida; Poales; Poaceae. The record is from Rfam by way of RNAcentral.